UAGAAGAUGUCCACAUGAGCA
Molecule: microRNA, 21 nt
Filed under: Rehmannia glutinosa
Lineage: Eukaryota; Viridiplantae; Streptophyta; Magnoliopsida; Lamiales; Orobanchaceae
Description: rgl-miR7806
Source: miRBase by way of RNAcentral